RNAcentral lists this ribosomal RNA (359 nucleotides) under Salmonella enterica subsp. enterica serovar Wangata. RNAcentral describes it as "bacterial SSU rRNA". It matches the Rfam family "Bacterial small subunit ribosomal RNA", at positions 1185 to 1533 of the family's 1533-position model. The record is from RNAcentral. Lineage: Bacteria; Pseudomonadati; Pseudomonadota; Gammaproteobacteria; Enterobacterales; Enterobacteriaceae.
UCAAGUCAUCAUGGCCCUUACGACCAGGGCUACACACGUGCUACAAUGGCGCAUACAAAGAGAAGCGACCUCGCGAGAGCAAGCGGACCUCAUAAAGUGCGUCGUAGUCCGGAUUGGAGUCUGCAACUCGACUCCAUGAAGUCGGAAUCGCUAGUAAUCGUGGAUCAGAAUGCCACGGUGAAUACGUUCCCGGGCCUUGUACACACCGCCCGUCACACCAUGGGAGUGGGUUGCAAAAGAAGUAGGUAGCUUAACCUUCGGGAGGGCGCUUACCACUUUGUGAUUCAUGACUGGGGUGAAGUCGUAACAAGGUAACCGUAGGGGAACCUGCGGUUGGAUCACCUCCUUACCUUAAAGAA